GAUGAACGCUGGCGGCGUGCCUAAUACAUGCAAGUCGAGCGAACGGACGAGAAGCUUGCUUCUCUGAUGUUAGCGGCGGACGGGCGAGUAACACGUGGAUCACCUACCUAUAAUACUGGGAUAACUUCGGGAAACCGUAGCUAAUACCGGAUAAUAUUUUGAACCGCAUGGUUCAAAAGUGAAAGACGGUCUUGCUGUCACUUAUAGAUGGAUCCGCGCUGCAUUAGCUAGUUGGUAAGGUAACGGCUUACCAAGGCAACGAUGCGUAGCCGACCUGAGAGGGUGAUCGGCCACACUGGAACUGAGACACGGUCCAGACUCCUACGGGAGGCAGCAGUAGGGAAUCUUCCGCAAUGGGCGAAAGCCUGACGGAGCAACGCCGCGUGAGUGAUGAAGGUCUUCGGAUCGUAAAACUCUGUUAUUAGGGAAGAACAUAUGUGUAAGUAACUGUGGCCAUCUUGACGGUACCUAAUCAGAAAGCCACGGCUAACUACGUG
RNAcentral lists this ribosomal RNA (497 nucleotides) under uncultured bacterium. RNAcentral's name for it is "partial 16S ribosomal RNA". It matches the Rfam family "Bacterial small subunit ribosomal RNA", at positions 28 to 507 of the family's 1533-position model. The record is from RNAcentral.